This 468-nucleotide ribosomal RNA is filed under the name uncultured bacterium. RNAcentral describes it as "partial 16S ribosomal RNA". It matches the Rfam family "Bacterial small subunit ribosomal RNA", at positions 28 to 507 of the family's 1533-position model. The record is from RNAcentral.
GACGAACGCUGGCGGCGUGCUUAACACAUGCAAGUCGAACGGAAAGACCCGGCGUUUGUGGGGUGCUCGAGUGGCGAACGGGUGAGUAACACGUGAGUAACCUGCCCUUGACUUAGGGGUAACUUUAGGAGACUGGGGCUAUUACCGGGUAGGAGCUCCUGCUGCAUGUGGGUGGUUGGAAAGUGUCGGCGGUUGGGGAUGGACUCGCGGCUUAUCAGCUUGUUGGUGGAGUAGUGGCGGACGAAGGCUUUGAGGGGUAGCCGGCCUGAGAGCGUUACCGGCGUCAAGGGGCCUACGAGACGGAGCAGAAUGCUACGGGCGGCAGCAGGGGGAAAUCUUGCGGAGUGGGCGGAAGUCUGAUGCAGAGACGCUCCGUGCGGGAUGCCCGGCUUCGAGUUGUGAACCAAUGUGGACUGUGACGAGCACUGAGUGACGGUAAUGGGUCAAGAAGCAACGGCUAACUACGUG